This 525-nucleotide ribosomal RNA is filed under the name uncultured bacterium. Its description in RNAcentral is "bacterial SSU rRNA". It matches the Rfam family "Bacterial small subunit ribosomal RNA", at positions 984 to 1509 of the family's 1533-position model. The record is from RNAcentral.
ACAUCCAGAGAACUUUCCAGAGAUGGAUUGGUGCCUUCGGGAACUCUGAGACAGGUGCUGCAUGGCUGUCGUCAGCCCGUGUUGUGAAAUGUUGGGUUAAGUCCCGCAACGAGCGCAACCCUUAUCCUUUGUUGCCAGCGGUUAGGCCGGGAACUCAAAGGAGACUGCCAGUGAUAAACUGGAGGAAGGUGGGGAUGACGUCAAGUCAUCAUGGCCCUUACGAGUAGGGCUACACACGUGCUACAAUGGCGCAUACAAAGAGAAGCGACCUCGCGAGAGCAAGCGGACCUCAUAAAGUGCGUCGUAGUCCGGAUUGGAGUCUGCAACUCGACUCCAUGAAGUCGGAAUCGCUAGUAAUCGUGGAUCAGAAUGCCACGGUCGAAUACGUUCCGGGCCUUGUACACACCGCCCGUCACACCAUGGGAGUGGGUUGCAAAAGAAGUAGGUAGCUUAACCUUCGGGAGGGCGCUUACCACUUUGUGAUUCAUGACUGGGGUGAAGUCGUAACAAGGUAAGCGUAGUGCU